GGGCGAAUGGCGGAAUUGGUAGACGCGCUAGCUUCAGGAGCUAGUGAGCGCAAGCUCAUGGAGGUUCAAGUCCUCUUUCGCCCACCA
Molecule: transfer RNA, 87 nt
Filed under: Candidatus Saccharimonadota bacterium
Lineage: Bacteria; Candidatus Saccharimonadota
Also listed under: 2 other names
Description: tRNA-Leu
Rfam family: tRNA
About the family: Transfer RNA (tRNA) molecules are approximately 80 nucleotides in length. Their secondary structure includes four short double-helical elements and three loops (D, anti-codon, and T loops).
Source: RNAcentral